This 253-nucleotide unclassified non-coding RNA is filed under the name plant metagenome. RNAcentral's name for it is "partial contains small subunit ribosomal RNA, internal transcribed spacer 1, and 5.8S ribosomal RNA". The stretch from base 1 to 54 matches the Rfam family "Eukaryotic small subunit ribosomal RNA", at positions 1778 to 1831 of the family's 1831-position model. The record is from RNAcentral.
GGAAGUAAAAGUCGUAUCAAGGUCUCCGUUGGUGAACCAGCGGAGGGAUCAUUACAGAGUUGCAAAACUCCCAAACCAUUGUGAACGUUACCUAUCCCGUUGCUUCGGCGGGCGGCCCGGGCCCCGCGCCCGGCGCCCCCCGGCCCCCCGUGGGCGCCCGCCGGAGGUAAACCAAACCCUUGAAUUGCAUGGCCUCUCUGAGUCCUCCGUACUGAAUAGGUCAAAACUUUCAACAACGGAUCUCUUGGUUCUG